RNAcentral lists this long non-coding RNA (2936 nucleotides) under Fukomys damarensis (Damara mole-rat). Its description in RNAcentral is "lncRNA (ENSFDAG00000023468.1)". Lineage: Eukaryota; Metazoa; Chordata; Mammalia; Rodentia; Bathyergidae. The record is from RNAcentral.
CCUGGCUCAAUCUCUAGUACCAAUAAAAUAAAAUAAAAUAAAAGCACGCAUACUCGAAUACUCGCAGCUCCAGAAGCAUCUCCCUGGCUGGUGGUAUCCGACAGGGUUCAGCAGCCAGAGCCCGCGCUCCGGGAGGCCUGAGCACCCCAGGUUGCAGGGACCUUGGGGCGUUGUCUUUAGCGGCUGUCCCUCCUCUGUGCAGCCCGGAAUCCACCGUUUUUGAAUGUGGAGAGGAUGGAGAAAGAGGGAACUCAGAAAGAUCACGCCUGUCAUCUGGUGCUCGGGAGGCUGAGGCAGGAGGAUCGGCGCGAGUUCGAGGCCAAACUGGGCUACAUAGUGAGUUCAAGACCAGCUUGGACUCUGUAAGGAUACCUUGUUUCAAAUCAACGUCUCCCCCCUCCCCCCGCCAUCAAUUUUUAAAAAGAACAGCCCGAAGGGGAGACGGCAGGGCACCCCGGGGGCUUGGUGAAUGGGGUGGCGCAAAGGGUAGCGCCCAGGAAGAGGACGCGGCGGGACCUCAGCAGGUGCUCAGUGGCGACGCGCGCCCGGGGUCCCGCAGGUCCUCGUCCCCGUCCCCAGGCGAGGGGGUGCGCGGCCAGUUCUUCCCGGCUGGGCUUUGCGCCCGCGGCGGGAGCUCUCCCCAGCCGGCUCCCUUGCUCUUCAAUUGCCGCUGGCAGAAGUUACCUCCGAAGUCCUUUCCACCCCGCAGGAGGGCGAUUUCCUUUUCCUGCCGCGAGUUUAACUUCUUGGCCAGGUGAGAUGGUGCACAGCUGUAAUCCCAGAGGCUGAGGCAGGAGGAUCACUGUGAGUUCGAGACCAGCCUGGGCUAUAUAGUGAGUUCCAGGUCAGUCUCAACUACAUAGUGAGACCCUGCCUCAAAAAAACAAAAACAAGAGUUUAACUUCUUUGAGACUAAAUCAUUUGAGUGUAUAAAAGACCAGAAAGGCAAAAUAGAAAACAGAAGCAGUAAACUUACUGCUCAGUGAACACUGCUAUUUCCGUUUUAGUAUAUUUAGCCUAAUUUGGUUUUCUGGAUUUGCUUUCUCCAGAGCACACCGCUUCCACAACUUUUCCAUAGUCCCUCACACUGUGACUUUCCUGGGUUGUUUAGUAUGUUAUAAAUAUUUUCUCACAUAAGUUAACAUUCUUCCACAAAAUUAUGUCUGGGGGCGGGGGAUGUAGCUCAGUGGUGCCACCGCCUGCCUUGCAAGCACAGGGUUGUGAGUUCAAUCCCCGGUAUCCCCCCCCAAAAAAAAUAAAUAUAUAUAUAUAUAAUGAAUGUUUCACAGUGUAUAAACUUUAAUUAAUCUGUAUUAAAUAUUUCCUAUUUCAUUGCUAUUUUAAGUAAGUGGGCCAAAAUUAUACUUAAGUCUACUUAAAUCUGGUAAUUUCCUUUAUAUUUUUUCAAAAUCUUUUUGAGGGGUAGGGCAUGUAUAGUACUCUGGGUUUGAGUUCUAGCACUGACAAAAAGCCAAGAUUUUGAUAUUUUUGUCUGCUUGAGAAAUAUGCAAGUUAUACUCCCUGUUUGGUCACAGAUUGUUUUUUCCCUUUAAAAUGGAGGGUCAUGUUAUCUUGGCCAGGUUGGCCCCACGCUCCUGGGCUCUAGUGAUCCUCCUGCCUCAGCCUUCCAAGCAGUUGGGACUCUAAGGCACAUGCUUAACACACAGAUAUACUUGUAAGACAACAGAAGUCUUACCACCAGUUAAGUCUUUCAUCGUAGCUUCUUGGGGCACAUGUGUAGGGAUUUUUUUUUCCCCUAAGAGAUGGCAAUUUGCAAUCAAACUGAGAACAUACAAGGACUUGUGUGUGAUCCUCCUGCCUCAGCCUUCCAAGCAGUUGGGACUCUAAGGCACAUGCUUAACUCACAGAUAUACUUGUAAGACAACAGAAGUCUUACCACCAGUUAAGUCUUUCAUCGUAGCUUCUUGGGGCACAUGUGUAGGGAUUUUUUUUUCCCCUAAGAGAUGGCAAUUUGCAAUCAAACUGAGAACAUAAACAAGGACUUGUGGUUUUGCUGCUAGGAAGCUUUCUAUCCACAGCACACGCCUUCCAUCUCCUCGGUGCAAAGCAAAGCGUGUCUCUCGUGCUCCUCCCUGCAUCUGUACUCGCUCCGUCAGGACUCCUGGGUCUAUUCUGCUUUAAGUGCUACCCUGAAUCAACGAGCUGAGCUUUGCUCAGCAUUUCCAUCUGGUAUCGCAGUGAUUUCUCUGUCCAUACGGCCCCCCCUAGACUGUAGACUCUAACUACCUGAGGCUGCAGACCUCCAUCAAAUUCACAGUUGCACCCGUUAAGCUCCUCCACGUACUAAGUGCACUCCUGUAUGUUACCUGGAUGCAUAAAACAUCUUGUUUCUUUGUGUGUGUGUGUGUGUGUACCAGGGAUAGAACUCAGGUCCUUGCGCUUUUGAGGAGGGCGGUGGAACCACUGAACUCAAUCCCCAGCCAAACAUCUUGUUUCUUUAUGGGUUGGUUUUUUGUUUUUGUUUUUGUUUUUGUUUUUUAAUUUGGUGCUUUUCUUUUCCUUCUGUUGGAGACAAGGUAUCUUGAUUCAUUUCAGCCUGAACUACAUAGCAAGACACCAUCUUAUUUAUACACACAAAAUAAAUAUGUACAUAUACAGAUGUUUAAGUAUAAUAAUACAUUAUUUUUAUCUAUAUCAUCUAUAGGCAUUAAGAAUUAUACUUCUAGUUAGUAGCCGGGCCUGGUGACGCACGCCUGUAAUCCCAGCACUCGAGAGGCUGACGCAGGAGGAUCGCUGUGAGUUUGAGACCAGCCUGGGCUGCAUAGUUCCAGGUUAGUCUCAACUACAUAGUGAGACCCUGUCUCAAAAAAACAAACAAACAAACAAAAAAAAAAAUCCAUGUUUGAUUUAACAUAUAAAUGCCAAAAAAAAUUUUUGGCGGCUCUGAGAAUCAAACCCAGGACCUUCUGAGACUG